This 495-nucleotide ribosomal RNA is filed under the name uncultured Ilumatobacter sp. RNAcentral describes it as "bacterial SSU rRNA". It matches the Rfam family "Bacterial small subunit ribosomal RNA", at positions 1 to 507 of the family's 1533-position model. The record is from RNAcentral. Lineage: Bacteria; Bacillati; Actinomycetota; Acidimicrobiia; Acidimicrobiales; Ilumatobacteraceae.
CGAGAGUAGUUCGUAGUCCUGGUCGACAGGACGACGCUGCGGCGUGCUUAACACAUGCAAGUCGAACGAGGUCCAUUGCGAGCUUGCUCAAGAGAAGACCUAGUGGCGAACGGGUGCGUAACACGUGAGAAACCUGCCCCGAACUUGGGAAUAACAGUCGGAAACGGCUGCUAAUACCGAAUAUCUCCGUAGCGUCGCAUGGCGCAUCGAAGAAAGCUUUUGCGGUUUGGAGGGUCUCGCGGCCUAUCAGCUAGUUGGUGAGGUAACGGCUCACCAAGGCAUCGACGGGUAGCUGGUCUGAGAGGAUGAUCAGCCACACUGGGACUGAGACACGGCCCAGACUCCUACGGGAGGCAGCAGUGGGGAAUAUUGCACAAUGGGCGAAAGCCUGAUGCAGCAACGCCGCGUGCGGGAAGAAGGCCCUAGGGUUGUAAACCGCUUUCAGCAGGGAAGAAACUGACGGUACCUGCAGAAGAAGGUGCGGCCAACUACGUG